CCUACGGGAGGCAGCAGUGAGGAAUAUUGGUCAAUGGGCGCGAGCCUGAACCAGCCAAGUAGCGUGAAGGAUGACUGCCCUACGGUUUGUAAACUUCUUUUAUAAAGGAAUAACAUGAGGCACGUGUGCCUUUUUAUAUGUACUUUGUGAAUAAGGAUCGGCUAACUCCGUGACCGCAGCCGCGGUAAUACGGAGGCGCCGAGCGUGAUCCAGAUUUAUUGGGUUUAAAGGGAGAGUAGAUGGGUUGUUAAGUCAGUUGUGAAAGUGUGCGGCUCAACCGUAAAAUUGCAAUUGAUACUGGCAGCCUUGAGUACAGUUGAGGUAGGCGGAAUUCGUGGUGUAGCGGUGAAAUGCUUAGAUAUCACGAAGAACUCCGAUUGCGAAGGCAGCCUACUAAACUGCCACUGACAUUGAUGCUCGAAAGUGUGGGUAUCAAACAGGAUUAGAUACCCCUGUAGUC
RNAcentral lists this ribosomal RNA (460 nucleotides) under uncultured bacterium. Its description in RNAcentral is "partial 16S ribosomal RNA". It matches the Rfam family "Bacterial small subunit ribosomal RNA", at positions 338 to 795 of the family's 1533-position model. The record is from RNAcentral.